RNAcentral lists this ribosomal RNA (253 nucleotides) under uncultured bacterium. RNAcentral describes it as "partial 16S ribosomal RNA". It matches the Rfam family "Bacterial small subunit ribosomal RNA", at positions 524 to 776 of the family's 1533-position model. The record is from RNAcentral.
UACGUAGGGUGCGAGCGUUGUCCGGAAUUACUGGGCGUAAAGGGUGCGCAGGUGGCGGCGCGCGUGGGGGGUGAAAUCGCCCGGCUUAACUGGGCGGGGGCCUUCCAGACGGCGUGGCUUGAGCAGGGGAGGGGGACGUGGAAUUCCGGGUGGAGCGGUGAAAUGCGUAGAGAUCCGGAGGAACACCGGUGGCGAAGGCGGGUCUCUGGGCAGUAACUGACGCUGAGGAGCGAAAGCGUGGGGAGCGAACAGG